This 21063-nucleotide long non-coding RNA is filed under the name Nicotiana tabacum (common tobacco). RNAcentral's name for it is "long non-coding RNA (NTAB_LNC008171)". The record is from RNAcentral. Lineage: Eukaryota; Viridiplantae; Streptophyta; Magnoliopsida; Solanales; Solanaceae.
GUGAAACUAGCCAACUAAACCAUGUCCACAUAUUUGUUUUAUAAAUUUAGCCACUAAUAAGCCAAGUGCAACAACUUAAUACUAUAGUACAAAGCAAAAGCUGAAAAUAGAAACAGGUUUUGAUCGCACUAGCUAGUUCAAGGGUUUGACUAAUAAAGACAGUAUCACCACCGUCGGAAUGAGGAAUUCUCCGGCAAUUUCCACGGCGGAAUCCGGCAACAAAAGUGGAAUUAGAUGGUUUUCCGGCAUGGUACACGCCGGGAAGAAGGCAUACAUGGAUAAUCAGAAGCCGAGGCAGGUUGAGAAGGCUGAGAAAGUCAUGCAUCUUAUCUGUUGGGGACCCAAAUAGUUCAUUUCUUAAGUAAGUAGUGCUUACGUUCGAAUCUUGAGAAUAAAGAAUCUUUUCAGAUGAAAGCGGUUUUCUCUUUAGUGAGUUUAUAUAUUACAAUGAAAUCUGAACAAUCGAAUUAAUGACUUCAAUUAUCGAAUGGUUAAUAAAAAAAAAAGAUUGUGUUUAUAACUUUUUCCUUUUUCCCCCCUUUUUGGGGUUUGUUUUGCCCUUUUUUCCUGUCUUAUUAUCAUCUCCUUUUCUUUCUUUUUUUUGUUUGCUUUAGUUAGUAUGGCCUAAUGGGAGAGUCGAAAUUAUUAUGUUAUUUGCUCUCUAGGAGAGUUUGUAAUUAUAUAUUAAAUGUUGUUAAAAAUAUGUUUUGGUGGGAGAUGUUUCGUCUAAAUUUUCCAAAUUGAACCAAUAUGUGAUAUUCUCAGAAAUACAAAAUGGAAAUCAAUCCAGAAUACUAGUAGUAAAUUUCUAACUUCAUUUUAGACGAUUCGACUUGAUUUGAGUUAUUAGUUCUGUGGUUUUACAACUUAAUUAGAUAGAAAACCUUCACCUAAAAAAACAUAAACAUAUAGUUAUGACCGAACACCACCUCAUAAUAAACCUAAGAAAUAAUGAAUUCAGUUGUGAAAUUGAGAAGAAAAGAGGCAAGUGAGGACAAUUUUAUGGGUCGUCGAUAAUCAAAGAGGUAAGGUCUGCGUAUACUCUAUCCUCCCCAGAUUCCACUGAUGAAAUUUUACUAGGUGGUUGUUGUUGUUUUUGUUGAUAAGCAAAAGAGGGCCUUUUAGUGUGUGUGUGUGUAUAUAUAUAGUAGUUUAUAGACAAAUAAAUUAAUUUGAUCCCAUGAUAAUGAAUAAGUUAGACAAACAUAAAAUACUUAGCAUUGAUAUGGAGACAGAACAACAGAAAUCGUAAUAUCGGGAGCAGGGCUUCCGAGGACAAUAAUCACGAUAUAAAUGAGCAAAAAGAUAAAAUUAUAUUGAGCUCUGAACAAAGUGUAGCAUAUGUUUGUAAGAAAAUUCGUGUCAUUUACAAUGAUAAUAUUGCUCAUUAUUAUAGUUGCACCUAGGGAACAAGGUCCUAGGAUCAAGCCCCUCUUUAAUGACAAUUAUGAGGGCUAUUGAAGAAUGUGUAACAGUAGGCAAUGAAUGUCAUAUUCUCUAUAACAGUCCACAUACUUAAUGCUGUAGAAAAUUCUUUAUUAAAUGCUACCGGGUGGCAGACAAUUAUUUCACCUUCAUGAGGAUCAUUUUCUUCGAUAACAGACGAGAUCGUUGCCUUCGGAUCCGACUUCCUUCUAUCUUCGGCUCUAUGUCACUUUCUCAUGUGAUCAUUUAAUAUAAACACAUUUUACCCUAUACAUAUGGCCCCCUUGCUUUUCGAUGGCAUAACUUUGUGUCAACGGGAAGUUGGUAGAAAUACCUUUUUUGGCGGAAAAUUCUCUGGCCCCCGCCGAAAAGUUUCUGACAGCUGAUUAGACCCAUGUCUCUUUGCAUUUAAUGCCCUGAACACGCGUCAUCCCACGAUUCAUCACCACUUUUGUCGGUUAUCGAGGUAAUUAUGGCCACGAUUUUAGCCGCCUAUUCCGUUACUUAUACGUAUCAAACUUCUCCAUUUACACUUCAUAACCUUCCAAACUCUCUCGAACUCUUUUUGUUUAACUUAUACUUGUCCUCAACUUUCCCAAAUCUUCUCUUUUAGUGAAGACCCUUUCCUCUUUUUUGAUAGCAAUGGCCUCUUCUUCCAGAAACCUUAGUUCUUCAAAGAACAAAGGUAAAGUUGAUGACAUUGCUCCUCUUACGGUGAGCACCAUCAUCCCAAAGAGUCUUAUCAAAACGAAGGACUUCAAAGAGAAGUUUCCUACCGUUAAUUCACGCACGUGGGUUGUUGGCAUGUAUCCUUCUUCUAUCCGUCCUUCCAGCAUCCCUGUUGUGAAGGAAAACCGACAUUGCCUUGAUUUGAACAUCAUCGCUCGUGACCUGUCGGAGUCGAUAAUCUUACCCAAGAAAGGUUUUACGUAUUUUUAUAUGUAUCCCUUCACUUUGGGGCCAUUCUCUUUGAACUGGGAGCUUAACUCUGUUAUCACGGAGCUCUGCAUCCGUUAUCAGGUAUACCUGGCGCAGGUAAGUCCUUCUGUGUGGAGGACAAUUGCUUGUCUUAGGCGUCUAUGCCAGGAGACAGGAGAAGAGCUAACCUUGGCUUGAUUAAUGAUCCCCCAAGAUUUUCCGUGGGAGAAUGAUAAAUUUCAGCAAGUGUGGCCACUAUGCUCUGCUAUCCAGCAUGGAUGAUGAUAACGAUCGUGAGUGGAAGGAACGGUUCAUCAUAGUUGCCACAAGCGACAUCAUUCCGGCCACGGCUUCAUCCUUUUCGGAAUUAUGGAACCUAACUCAUAAGUUCAUCAUUUGUCUUUUCUUUCAUUAAAGAUCGCCCCAUAUCGUUAUUGGACCUUCUUCUUUAGCUUAUUUCAGCAACUCGGUGGGUACCACCUAGGGUUGAAGGCUUGGAUCAGUGGGUCCAAAAAAAUUUGAAUGUUACUAUGCUCGAGACCCGCACGUGGAAAAAACUUGCCCUUAAAUAUGGGUGGGAGGCCAAGAAUCAUGGUAAGUUGAACUCAUCUUGUUUUUACUGUAACGACAUGGCCAGUUGUUUUGAGUAUUUUAGCCCCUAUCCCCUAUAUUAUGCUUCCUCUAUGCUAUACUGUAGUUAUGUAACUUGCCUGGGUGGUUGGUUUUGGUUUCGGGUGAGUUUUGGAGUGAAAUGGGAUACAUAGUCCCUAAGUUGGAAGGUUAAGUCGUAGGAGUUGACCGUAGAUUGACUUGUAUGAAGACGACUUCGGAAUGGAGUUUUGACAGUUCCAAUAGCCCCUAUGGUGAUUUUUGUCGUAGAAGCAUGUCCGAAGGGUAAUUUGGAGGUCUGUAGGUUGUUUCGGCGUGAUUUGGCGAAAUUUGAAAAGUUGGAGGAUUUUUGGAAAGUUUGACCAUGAGUUGUCUUUAUUGAUAUCGGGGUCAAAAUCCAAUUUCGAAAGUUGAAAUAUGUCUGCAAUAUCAUUUAUGACUUGUGUGCAAAAUUUGAAGUCAAUCAGAGUUAUUUUGGUAUGAUUCGGCAUCGGUUUUAGAAUUCGGAAGUUCAUAAUUUCUUAGGCUUGAAUUUGGAUUGCGAUUCGUAGAAUUUAUGUUAUUGGAUGUGAUUUUUGUCCUUGAGUAGGCCUGUUAUUUAUUUUGAAACUAUUUGGUAUAUUCGAGCGGGGUCCCGGAGGCCUCGGGUGUGAUUCUGAUCGAAUCCGGAACAAUUUGGACUUAUUGAAUUUUGCUGAAGGUUGGCAGCUUCUGGUGUCUUUGCACUUGCGGAGGGAUUAGCCGCAGAUGCGGGCUUGCAAAAACGAGCACUUGGUCGCAAAUGCGGAGCUAGGCAUGCCCAACUGGGGGCGCAUGAGUGGGAAAUGUUCCACAGAAGCGGCUUCGCUUAUGCAUUGGAGGGGAACGUAGGAGCGACAGUGGUAACAGGUGAGACGCUUGUGCCGCAGGUGCGCAUGCGCAGAUGCGAACCUUUUUCCGCAGAUGCGGAUAUCUUGGACUUAAGUGAAGACCGCACCUGCGAUGGUUUUCCCGCAGGUGCGUAGCCACAGAUGCGGUAGAAAGGUCGCAGGUAAGAUUUAACUGGCAGAAAAAGGGGAAAUUCGAGGCUUAGUUUUCAUAAUUUAUUUUGGGAUUUUGGGAGCUCAGUGGGAAAUGAAAUUUCGAGGAAUUUUCAGUGAGAAUGUUGGGGUAAGAAGAAGCCUUAACUCAAUUUUGGUUAAAUUACUCGAGUCUAUCAUUGUUUUAUCAUGUAAUUAGGGAUUGGAGUUGGAAAAAUUGGGAAAAGGUGGUAGAACUUCUUAGACUAAGUUUUUAGUUUUGAAAAGCGAAUUGAGGUCAGAUUUGAAUAAUUCUUGUGUGAUUGAACUCGAUAUCGAAUGGGUGUUCGAAUUUUAUAAUUUUGGUCGGGUUUCGAGAUGUGGACCGAGUUGACUUUUUGGGUUGAUUUUUCAAUUCUUUGCAAAGAUCGUAAUUUCACUGUUUGAAUUAGUUUCCUAUAGUUAUAAUUUUAGUAUGAAAUUUUGGCUGAAUUCGAGCCGUUCGGAGUUGGAAAAUCGAGGGAAAGGUCUUCUAGUGGAUUGACUUAGCAUGAUUUGAGGUAAGUGGCUUGCCUAACUUUGUGUCGGGGAACUUUCCCUUAGGAUUGGUGUUACUUGUGAUAAUUGUGAUGUGCAAAAGCCGUGUACGAAAGGUGACGAGUGUGUACACGGGCUAAAUAUGAAAAUUAUCGGUUUUUGGCUGUGUAAAUUCCUUUCAUGUCAUAGUUGAGUUGCUUUAACAUGUUAUAGUCUUCAUUUUUAGUCUAAUUCUAUAUGUCUACUUCUCUUAUCCCUUACUGGCUAAUUGCUCUACAUGUUUAGUCAAAAUUCUUGUUUCUUUUAUUCCGUAUUCAUUAUUAACUAUGGAAUUCUUUAUUGAAAUUAUUAUUUCUUGGAAUAUCUUGUCGUUAAAAUUAGUAUUGAGUUGCAAGGGCCGUGAUUCUAUUGAGGCAAAGUGUUAAGUUGUUAAACAUCAUGCUAUUGAGUUAUUCCUCGGGUUGUUAAUUGUUGAGACUUUGUGUACAUUGUGUUUGAGUCGUGGGCUCCUUGUUGUGAAAUUAUGUUAUUGUUUGGUUUCUCUGGCACGUUGUGAUAUUGGGCCCUUGAGGUGUGGUUUAUGAUAAGUUGUGAUAGUGAUACGCAUGUGGUGGUAUAAGGUUUGGGUGUUGAAACACAUGCGGUGAGAUAAGGUGGUCUUGAUACGCAUGGUUAGUAGGAAACUACUAGAAUCCAUGCGGUAUGAUAAGGUGGGCUGAAACGCGGGAUGCUAUUUCGGGAAAAAUAAUUUUCAAAACUAAAUGUAAAGACUCCCGCGGUGAUAUAAGAAAAGAUUUUGAUUUAUUUUGUGAUUUGAGACUACGAGGCGGUACCUCAGUAGUGACUCUUGUUGACAUUUUCCCAUUUUCUUGUCUUGAUCGGUUUUUCCUUAGCAUAUUAUUAAAUGUCUUGCUCUAUGUUGCACUAUUUGCUUAGUUUCGUGUAUCUAAUCUUGUUAUGCUAUUCGUUUGUUUAAUUUUCAUUACUAUCUUAUUAUACUAUCUAUAUUGUUCAGUCUUUUAUUUAUUUUUAGUAGGGCCUGACUUGAUCUCGUCACUUCUCUACCAAGGUUAGUUUUGGCACUUACUAGGUAUCAUUGUGGUGUACUCAUGCUACUCUUCUGCAUAUAUUUUUAUGCAUAUCCAGGUGCUUCCUACUAGCCCAGGCGUUAGUUAGGAUUCUACUGCGAAGACUUCAAGGUAUACUUGCCGGUGUCCGCAGGCCUUGGAGUCCCCCUCUCUCUAGAUCUCUUAUUUCGUCAUCCUUAUUAUAUACUCGUGAUGCAUAUGAUUAUACAAUACUCAUACUUAGAGAUUGUGACUUGUAUUUUCACCGGGCCUCGGGAUUUGUGUAUGAUGUGUUGAAGUGUUGGUAUAUAUAUAUCUAUUGAGUUUGAGAAGUUUAUUUACUAUUAUUUCAAUUAUUUUGCAUGUUGUUAGGCUCACCUAGUUGUUGUCACAGCAUCCUACAGAGGAAAUUCGAGGUCAUGACAAGUUGGUAUUAGAGUUCUAGAUUUAUAGGUGUUAUGAGUCACAAGCAAGUUUAGUAGAGUCUCGCGGAUCGAUACGGAGACGUCUGUACUUAUCUUUGGGAGGCUAUGGAACUGUUAGGAAAAGCUUCACUUCUUUGAUUCCUUAUCAUGCGAAAUUGUUGACUUCGGGAUUCUAAACUUCUGUCUUUCUGUUCUCUCAUAGAUGGUGUGGACACGUAUAAUUGGAUCGGAUUACGAGAUACCCACGUCCCCUAAUAGAGCCUCGAGAGGCCGGGGCCGAGGACGUCCAUGUGGUGCAGCCAGAGCACCUGCACGAGCUGCUACAGAGGAACCACCAGUAGCUCUAGUUGGAGAACAGGCACCUGAGACGUCUGUUACUACCCAGCACUCCAGGAGACUCUCUCCCAAUUUCUGAGCAUGUUCGAUACUUUAGCUCGGGCAGGGUUGAUACCACUUUCUCUUGCCACAUCUCGGGCUGGGGGAGAAGCACAUACUUCCGCCACCCAUACCCUAGAGUAGUGGGCCCAAGUUGACCAGGUCCCAAAGGUCAUACCAAUACAGUUGGUCGUUCCAGUUCGGCCCGAGGUUAGGGCAGCAACUUUUGAGGGGGAGCAGCUCAGGCUCGAGAGGUACAAAAAUUACAACCCUCAUACUUUCAGCGGCUUGGCGUCAGAGGAUGCCUAGUGUUUUCUUGAGGAGUACCACCGUAUCCUCUGUACGAUGGGUAUUGUGGAGUCUAGUGAGGUUGUUUUCACUACAUUCUAGCUUAAGGGAGCAGCUUAUUAUUGGUGGCAAGCAUAUGAGUUGUGUAGUCCGACCGAGGCAGCUUCACUCACUUGGGCUUAAUUUUCAGAUAUGUUCUUGAGGGAGUUUGUUCCCCAGAGUCUUAGAGAUGCAUGGCGCGCAGAGUUUGAGCAGUUGCGCCAGGGUUCUAUGAUCGUAUCGGAGUAUGCGAUCCAGUUCAGUGAUUUGUCUAGGCAUACACCAGCCUUGGUUGCUACUGUUAGAAAACGAGUCCAUCGAUUUAUCGAGGGGCUUAACCCGGAUUCAGAUUUAGCAUGACUCGAGAUUUGGAGAUGAACAUUGCAUACCAGCAGGUAGUGGAGAUCGCUAGGAGGUUAGAGGGUAUGUGGGCCUGGUAAAGAGAGGAGAGGAGGGCCAAGAGGCCUCGAGAUUCUGGCACAUAUAGUGGUGCCUGUGCCCCAGUUGCAGCUCGUCAUGGUAGGGGCUAUGUGAGUCACUUUGUUCAUUCAGUACUUCCAGCUUCCAGCGGUAUUCUGGCCACUCCUAGGCCUCAGGAUCCCUUUUAUGCACCGCCAUUAUCUAGUGCACCUCCUGCACGGGGUGCUUUUAGCAGUCAGUCCAGCUGCUCAGGCUUUAGCCAACCACAACAACCAAGUCCUCUGAGAGCUUGUUUUAAGUAUGGUGACACUCGUCACAUGGUGAGGGAUUGCCCCAGACUCAGGAGGGGUGCACCUCCACAGACCACUCAGGCUCCGCGUAUUCCACCGGGUCCUCAGGACAUGGUGACCGCACCAGUUGCCACUCCAGCUGCAUAGCCAACUAGAGGUGGAGGUCAGGCAGGUAGAGGUUGCCAUAUAAGGAGAGGUCAGGCAAAAUAUUAUGGUCUUCCUGCUAGGACGGAGGCAGUUGCAUCCGACUCACUCAUCAUUGGUAUUGUUCUGGUCUGUCAUAGAGAUGCAUCAGUCUUAUUUGAUCCAAGAUCCAUUUAUUCCUAUGUGUCAUCUUACUUUGCUCUAUAUUUGGGUGUAUCUCGUGAUUCUUUGAGUUCUCUAGUUCAUGUAUCCAUACCCGUGGGAGAUUCUAUUGUUGUUAACCGUGUGUAUUGGUCGUGUUUAGUUGUUCUUGGUGAUUUUAAGACCACAGUCGAUCUAUUAUUGCUCAGUAUGGUAGAUUUUGAUAUUAUUUCGGGCAUGAACUGAUUGUCAUCCUCUUAUGUUAUUCUCGAUUGUCACGCCAAGACCGUGACGCUUGCUAUGCCAGGGUUACAUGGGUAGAGUGGAGAGGUGCUUUAGAUUAUGUUCCUAGUAGGGUUAUCUCAUUUCUAAAGGCUCAGUGUAUGGUUAAGAAGGGGUGUAAUGAUUAUCUAUCUUUCGUGAGAGAUGUCAGUGUUGAUACUUCUACCAUGGAGUCAGUUCCGAUAGUGCAGGAUUAUCCAGAUAUAUUUCCGGUGGAUCUUCUGGACAUGUCGCCCGAUAAGGAUGUUGAUUUUUGUUAUUGAUUUAUUACUAGUCACUUAGCCCAUUUCUAUUCCACCCUAUCGUAUGGCCCCAAUAGAGUUGAAAGAAUUAAAGGAGCAGUUGCAAGAGUUGCUUGAUAAGGGCUUCAUUCAGCCCAGUGUGUCGCCUUGGGGUGCUCCAGUCUUGUUUGUAAAGAAGAAGGACGGUUCUAUGCAUAUGUGUAUUAAUUAUCGCAAGAUGAACAAGGUUACAGUGAAGAAUAUGUAUCCAUUGCCACAUAUUGAUGAACUAUUUGAUCAGCUAGAGGGCGCCAGAGUGUUCUCCAAGAUUGACUUCCGUUCAGGCUAUCAUCACUUGAAGAUUUGGGAGCCAGAUAUACCGAAGACUACCUUCAGGACUCGGUAUGGUCAUUACGAGUUCCCUGUGAUGUCUUUUGGAUUGACCAACGCCUCAGAAACAUUCAUGGAUUUGAUGAACAGUGUAUUUCAGCCCUAUCUUGACUCAUUUGUCAUUGUGUUUAUUGACGAUAUUUUGGUGUACUCCCAAAGUCGGGAGGAUCAUGAGCAGCACUUGAGGACUGUACUCUAGACCUUGAGAGAAAAGAAGUUAUAUGCAAAAUUUUCAAAAUGUGAAUUAUGGCUUUAUUCGGUAGCAUUUUUAGGCCAUGUAGUGUCGAGUGGGGGGAUCAUUGUAGAUCCGAAGAAUAUUGAAGCAAUGUAGAGUUGGCCCAGACCGUCUUCAGCUACGGAGAUCCGGAGUUUUCUUGGUUUGGCGGGGUAUUACCAUCGAUUUGUAGAGGGUUUCUCAUCUAUUUCAUAGCCUAUGACCAAAUUAACCCAGAAGGGUGCUCUAUUCAGGUGGACCGAGGAGUGUGAGGAGAGAUUUUAAAAGCUCAGGACUGUUUUGACUACAGCCCCAGUGUUGGUAUUGCCUACAGGUUCAGGGUCUUAUACUGUGUAUUGUGAUGCAUUACGUAUUGGUCUCGGUGCGGUAUUGAUGCAGGACGGUAGGGUGAUUGCCUACGCAUCUAGAUAGAUGAAGGUGCAUGAGAAGAACUAUCAUGUCCACGACCUUGAGUUACAAGCUAUUGUUCAUGCCUUGAAGAUUUGGCCGCACUAUUUGUACGGUGUUCCUUGUGAGAUCUACACUGACCACCAGAGUCUACAGUAUCUGUUCAAAUAGAAGGAACUUAACUUGCGUCAAAGAAGGUGGUUAAAGUUGCUUAAGGACUAUGAUAUCACCAUUCUGUAUCACCCCAGGAAUGCCAAUGUGGUGGCCGAUGCCUUGAGUCGCAAGGUGGAGAGUUUGUGCAGCUUAGCAUAUCUAUUGGUAGUGGAGAGGCCAUUAGCAUUGGAUGUUCAGGCCUUGGCCAACCAGUUUGUUAGAUUGGAUGUUUCUGAGCCAGGUCAAGUUUUGGCUUGUGUGGUUUCUCGGUCUUCUCUUCAUGAUCGUAUCAGAGAGCGUCAGUAUGACAGCCCCCAUAUGCUUGUCCUUAAGGACACAGUUCAGCAUGACAAUGCUAAGGAGGCCACUAUUGGAGAUGAGGGUGUAUUAGGGAUGUAGGGCAGGCUAUGUAUGCCCAAAGUAGAUGGUUUGAGUGAGUUGAUUCUCCAGGAGGCUCACAGUUCGUGGUACUCCAUUCAUCCAGUUGCCGCGAAGAUGUAUCAGAACUUGAGGCAGCAUUAUUUGGUGGAGGAGAAUGAAGAAGGACAUAGUGGAGUAUGUAGCUCGGUGCCUAAACUGUCAGCAGGUGAAGUAUGAGCAUUAGCGGCCAGGUGGAUUGCUUCAAAAGCUAGAGAUUCUAGAGUGGAAAUAGGAGCGAAUUACUAUAAAUUUUGUUGUUGGGCUCCCAUAGACUCAGAGGAAGUUCGAUGCAGUUUGGGUGACUGUGGAUAGGUUGACCAAGUCAACUCAUUUCAUUCCAAUGGUGACUACUUAUUCUUCUGAGCAGCUAGCCCGAGUUUAUAAUCGCGAGAUUGCCAGGCUUCAUGGAGUGCCGAUAUCCAUCAUCUCUGGCCGGGGUACAUAGUUUACAUCGCGGUUCUGGAAAGUCGUACAACAAGAGUUAGGUGCACGAUUUGAGUUGAGCAUGGCAUUUUACCCGUAGACGGAUGGGAAGUCCGAGUGCACUAUUUAAAUAUUGGAGGAUAUGCUUCGUGCAUGUGUGAUGGAGUUUGGGGUUUCUAGGGAUCAGUUCUUGCCGCUUGCGGACUUUUCCUAAAAUAACAACUACUAGUCAAGCAUUUAGAUGGCUCCAUAUGAGGCUUUGUAUGGUAGACGGUAUCGGUCUUCGGUGGGUUGGUUUGAGCCGGGUGAGACUAGGCUAUUGGGUGCAGACUUGGUUCAGGAUGCUUUGGAAAAGGUUAAAAUUGAUUCAAGAUCGACUUCGUACAAUCCAAUCCAGAUAUAAGAGUUAUGUGAAUCGGAAGGUUCGCGACAUUGAAUUCGUGGUUGUGGAGUGGGUCUUGCUCCAAGUUCGCCCAUGAAGGGUGUUAUGAGGUUCAGGAAGAAGGUCAAGUUGAGCCCUAGGUAUAUUGGGCCAUAUGAGAUACUUGAGAGGAUUAGAGAAGUGGCAUAUAGGCUUGUAUUACCACCUAGUCUAGCUGUAGUUCAUCAAGUAAUCCAUGUUUCUAUGCUCCGGAAGUAUCACGGCGAUCUAUCUCAUGUGUUAGACUUCAGCUCAGUCCAGUUGGACAAGGAAUUGUCUUAUGUUGAGGAGUCGGCGGCCAUUUUGGACAGGAAGGAUCCAAAGUUGAGGUCGAAGAACAAUGCUUUAGCGAAGGUUCAGUGGAGGGGUCAGCUAGUCGAGAAGGUGAAUUGGGAGACGGAGCAUGAUAUAUAUAACCAUUAUCCUUAUCUUUUCACCACUUCAGGUAUGUCUCUAUACUUGUUCGAGUACGAACGUUUGUUUUAAUAGGGGGAGGAUGUAACGACCCGGCCGGUCAUUUUGAGUAUUUUAACCCCGAUCCCCUAAAUUAUGAUUCCUCUAUAUUAUAUUGUGGUCAUGUAACUUUUCGAGGUGAUUGGUUUUGGUUUCGGGUGAGUUUCAAAGUGAAAUGGGGCACAUAGUCCCUAAGUUGGAAGGUUAAGUCGUAGGAGUUGACCAUAGUUUGCCUUGUGUGAAUACGACUCCAUAAUGGAGUUUUGACGGUUCUAAUAACUCCGUAUGGUGAUUUUGGUUAGGAGUGUGUACGAAUGUUGAUUUGGAGGUCUGUAGGUCGUUUCGGCGUGAUUUGGCAAAAGUUGGAAAGUUGGAGGAUUUUGGAAAGUUUGACCGGGAGUUGAGUUUAUUGAUAUCGGAGUCGGAAUUUGAUUCCGGAUGUUGGAAUAGGUCCGUAAUAUCAUUUAUGACUUGUGUGCGAAAUUUCAAGUCAAUCAAAGUUGUUUUGGUAUGAUUCGACAUCGGUUUCGGAAUUUAGAAGUUCAUAAUUUCUUAGGCUUGAAUUUGAGUUGCAAUUCGUAGAAUUUAGGUCAUUGGAUGUGAUUUUUGACCUCGAGAAGGUCCAUUAUGUAUCUAAGAACUAGUUGGUAUAUUCGGACGGGGUCCCAGAGGCCCGGGUGUGAUUUGGAUCGAAUCCGGAAUAAAUUGGAUUUGUUGAAUUUUGCUGAAGGUUGGCAACUUCUGGUGUCUUCGCACCUGCGAAGAGAUUGGCUGCAGGUGCAGGCUCAUAAAAAUGAGCACUUGGUCGCAGAUGUGGAGCUGGGCAUGCCCAGCUAGGGGCGCAGGAGCAGAAAAUGUUCCGCAGAAGCAGCUUCGCUUCUGCAAUAGUGGGGAACGCAGGAGCGACAAUGGUCGCAGGUGCGACGCUUGUGCUGCAGGUGCGCAUGCGCAGAUGUGAGCCCUUUUCCGCAGAAGCGAAUUCCUUGGACUUAAGUGAAGUCCGUACCUGCGAUGAGUUUUCCGCAGGUGCGCAGCCGCAGAUGCGGCAGAAAGGUCACAAGUGCGAUUUAACCGGCAGAAAAAUGGGAAAUUUGAGGGUUAGUAUUCAUAAUUCAUUUUGGGAUUUUGGGAGCUCGGUGGGAGACGAAAUUUCGAGGGAUUUUCAGAAAGAACAUUAGGGUAAGAAUUGUUAAUUCGAUUUUGGUUAAAUUACUCGAGUUUAUCAUUGUUUUAUCAUGUAAUUAGGGAUUGGAGUUGGAAAAAUUGGGAAAAAGUGGUAGAACUUCUUAGACUAAGUUUUUGAGUUUUGAAAGACGAAUUGAGGCCGGAUUUGAAUAAUUCUUGUAUGGUUGGACUCGAUAUCAACUUGGUGUUCGAAUUUUAUAAUAUUGGUCGGGUUCCGAGAUGCGGGCCCAAGUUGAUGUUAUGGGUCGGUUUUUCAAUUCUUUGCAAAUAUCAUAAUUUCAUUGUUUGAAUUAGUUUUCUAUAGUUAUAUUUAUAAUAUGAAAUUAUUUUGUAUUGAUUCAAGCCGUUCGGAGUUGGAAUAUCGAGAAAAAUGCCUUCUAGUGAAUUUAUUUAGCAUGAUUUGACGUAAAUGGUUUGUCUAACUUUGUGUGGGGGAGAUACCCCUUAGGAUUGAUGUUACUUGUGAUAAUUGUGAUGUGUAAGAGCCGUGUAUGCAAGAUGACGAGUGUGUACACAAACUAAAUGUGGAAAUUACCAGUUUUUAGCUAUGUAAAUUUCUUUCAUGUGUUAAUUGAGUUACUUUAACAUGUUAUAGUCUUCAUUUUUAGUCUAAUUUCACAUGUCUACUUGUCUUAUCUCUUACUUGUAAUUUCUCUACAUGUUUAGUCGAAAUUUUUGUUUCUUUUAUUCCGUAUUCAUUAUUUAACUAUGAAAUUCUUUAUUGAAAUUAUUAUUUCUUGGAAUAUCUUGUUGUUGAAAUUGGUAUUGAGUUGCAAGGGCUAUGAUUCUAUUUAGGCAAAGUGUUAAGUUGUUUAAUAUCAUGCUAUUGAGUUAUUCUUCAGGUUGUUACGUGGGCUCCUUGUUGUGAAAUUCUGUUAUUGUUUGGUUUCUUGCACAUUGUGAUACUGGGCACUUGAAGUGCGAUUUGUGAUAAGUUGGGAUAUUGAUAUGCAUGCGGUGGUAUAAGGUUUGGGUGUUGAAACGCAUGCGGCAAGAUAAGGUGUGCUUGAUACACUCACUACAACAAAAAAGCUUUUUAGCGACAAUAGAUAUGCAUUUUAGCAGCAAUUGUUAUUGUCGUAAAAACUUUUAGCGGCAAUUGAUCAUUAACCGUUGUAUCCAGCGUCGCUAAAGGUUUUAGCGGAAAAUAGACUGAGUGCUGGUAAAUGUCCCAUUUAUUGCCGCUAAAAGAUCUGACAUUUAGUGGCAUUUAUAUACUAGCAAUUACAAGAGCCACUAUAAUUAUCCCAUAACCUAAGUUGCUCGGACUCGGGUGUGGGUAUUCGAUACGGGGACGAAUCCUAGUAUCGAAUUCGGCAAAAUCUAAAUUUUAUAAUUCGGGAGUGCGGAUCCAGAUAUGGAUACGGGUGCGGGAUUCGGCUAAUAAAAAAUAGAGCUAUAAAAAUAUUAUAAAUUUUGAGGGAUUUUCUGUGAAAAACUUACAUAAAUAUUGCACAAUUCAAUCUUUCAUUUCCCAAGAUGGACAUUAUUCUUUCAUUGUUCUAAAUCUGUUUUAUUUUUGAUUUUGAGAACUCAAAAUCUCAGUUUUUCUACCAAAGUUGUCGAUGGACUCCGGUCAAAGUGUCCGAAGUCAGUUGACUAUAUCCAGGACGUAUCCAGUCCUCGUAUUCGUAUCUAUCCCGUAUCAGGAUGGGAACAGCACCAAAAUCGAAGAGUCCGCGCAACUUAGUCCAUAACUAGCCUUCUAUUUGGUCUUAGCAGCAUCUGUUAUGGUCGGUAAAUAUUAAUUUUUUUGCCGUUAAAGAAAAUCUUUUAAUGACCUUUCUUAUUGCCGGUAAAACUAUGCAUAAAUUGUCAAAUGCUAAUCGUCGGGAAACUAUAAGCCUUUUCGACAUAAAGGUAAUAACAAAAACUGCACAUAUAUAAUAACAUAAAUGUAUAUAAUAAAAUAUGCAAAUAUUUAUUCUAGGAAGAAUAAGGUGUUUCACUAAAUUCAUAAUAUACAGAGAUAAUUACAAGUUCAUACUUUAGAGUUUCAGCAAAAAAAAAUAAAAAAAUACACCAUUUGAAUCCAACAAUAGUUUUUUCUCCUCCUGACAAAUCUAGUUCUUUCUGUGUCAAUUUCUGCGUCCAAGGAUAUCAUAAUUAGAUGAGUUAGAACAAAGCAUCUUCAUUGACUGUAGAAAGUCAGUUCUUGUUGACUCCAGCAAGUUUCAUCCAUUGGAUACUAGUUCUGCAGCCAUGUAAUUUGUGGAUUGUAGAUUUAAAUUGAACUGCAGAACAAAAGUUUUUUUUUUGUCAAAAUAAACUUUUUUAUUCAACCAAGUAAAGAUUUAUACACAGCUAACUCUUUUGGACCCAAGAGUUAGUUCUCUAGGAAAAUUAAAACUACGCUAUAAUCUAUCUAUGCUGGGUAAUAAUUUAACCUAUCUAGUAUACUCUUCCAUUUUGCAAUUGCUCUGUCCUUUAAUAUGUAACUGUAUUACAAUUUCCUUCACUCUCUGUCUAGCCUCUUGCUUCCUUUGUUGAAAUCUUCUUGCAUUUCUCUCUGCCCAGACAUGAUAGACAGUUGUUGCAAAGAGAAAUCAUAGAAUAUGAGUCCUUGGUCGAUUGUUCCUUUUAAUUCUGCAGCCAUGUAAUUUGUGGAUUAUAGAUUUAAAUUAAAACUGCAGAAUAAAGUUGCAUAAAACUUAGGCAUAUACUCAUGAAAUGGGAUUAGUUUAUCUAUAGUUGUAAUGUAAAAAAUGAAGGAUAAAAUGAACCUUGAUUCUUUAGUCAAAUUCUCAUUUCUAGCUCUUUGCUCACAUGCUAGUUCCUAACUUCCUGUUAGUAAGUAAAACACACAUUCAGACAAGUAAACUUGGAUUUGGUUUUUGGAAAAUACUAGACAAACAUAUAAAACCAUUUGAAACCUUUCCAGUUCAAAUGUACCCUUCUCCUCAGUAAUAAGUUUUUUUUCUCCUCAAGUUCAGUGAAUUUCUACUAAAAAUGGCUGUAAAUCUUUUGUUCUUGCAAGUUUGCUUGUAGAGUUGCAACGCAGAAUACUUACUGCUAGUUGUGAAAGCAAUAUUUUCACCUACUUAACCAUGCUCGAUCCAACUACAAGUAUAAAUGAAAAAGAUGAAUGUUUGAACAUCUUAUUAAUACAAUAGAAUUCACAUUUGUCUUUAAUGGUGAAAAAUAAGCUUAGCUACUUAUGGAGAUCACAAAUAUUAAAAGUUCAUUUAAUUCUUGCCAUAUACAUUAGAUGCAGUUCUACUUUUCAUCUGUAGAUCACCUCCCCAGCUCGUCUAAUUUUAAGAACCAUCAAUACUCCAUUUCUUAUUCUAAUAAACUUGAAUUAGAUAUUUCUAAUCAAAAAAUGCCGGAGCAAUAAAUUUAUGUAAUUUAAGUCAAAACUAGAUAAUACAUUGGCCCUAGAAGAACAGAGAAUACAUAUCCAAUAUUCUUCAUUUUUUUACUAAACAUGUUAUUUUAGAAUCUUUAAACUAGUUUAAAUAUCCUCCACAUAAUAUCUUCAUUUUCAAAUAAAACAUUGAUAACGAGUAACAUCACAACUUAGAAGCCUCAUUAGCUCAGAAAUACUUCUAUUGUUCUUCGAAGUUUAACAUUUGAAACGACUCUAAUUUAACCCAUGAUGAAAAACAUUAAAGAUUUUCAACCUACGAAUGUCUAAAAUUGAUUUAUCAUCUUUUAACAAUUGAAAAUACUACUUGUAAAAUACCAUAUAUAAGUCAUUAUUGUCCAAGCGACAAUAUUUCUAUAUGACAUUUUAUCAAACACUUCAUAGGCUUCUUAAGUUAGUUCUAUAGGAGCAAACACCAAAAGUAAUAUUGUCUAAACAAAUGAAUUCAAAUCAAACUAGAUCACUAGCAAUUCAGUAAAAACAAACGAAUAAGAAAUAAACUCAUACUCCUCUUAUUACAAAAUGAGCAUCAAACAAAUGCCAAACUAAAAAAACCAAAACCAAAUUAUAAACAAUUAUUUACUGUACUUAGCUACCUACCUUCUCCGAUGGGGAAAAAAAUCCAUAAUAUACCUGCAGUAUUCUAACACUCGUACAUGAACUAACCCAUGAGCCAAAAUAAAUCUUCUGCUAGCAUUGAUAGCCUCAUAAUCCCAAGUUUUAUUCAUGCCAAAAUGGAAUAAAGAAAAAUAAUCAACAAUUACCAAAUCUUAUAAGAAUGUGAAUAGCAAAUGACAAAAAAAUAUUGAUUGUGAAAGUACCAUAGAGGUAGCCGGCAGUGACGAAGAUGUAGGUGGUAAGGCAAAGAGUUCUGAUCUACAACCGGUUAUUCGAGAUUUGCCAAUGUUAUAAUGUUUGUGUUCAUCCUUUUCUUCCCCUUUGGUUGUAGUCUGUAGAUAUGGGCUAACGAGAUUCUGAAAUAAUUUUGAUGGACGAAAAUAAGAGAAAUAAGAACAGUAAAUAAAAAACAAGCCAAGGGCGGGAGGAUUAAAAGAAGAGAGGGAAAUGAAAAAGUAUAGGGUUUCCUCUGGAGGGAAGGUUAAAAAUAAAAUAUAGGCUCUUUAGUGACUAAUUCGUUUAAUUGCCAGUAAAAUGAAACUUUUUACCGGCUAAUAUAUAUUUACCCUAACAUUCUAGUUUAGGAAUUAAAUUAGUUGCAAUUAUCUUACUGUCACUAAUUAAUUACUGCUAAAUAAUUUUUUUGUGGUAGUGCACGUGGAUAGUAGGGGAACUACUAGAAACCAUGUGGUGUGAUAAGGUGGGCUAAAACACACGAUGCUAUUUCGGGAAAAAUAAUUUUCAAAACUAAAUGUAAAGGCUCACGCUAUGAUAUAAGAAAAGAUUUUGAUUUAUUUUGUGAUUUGAGACUACGAGGCGGUACCUCGGUAGUGACUCUUGUUGACAUUUCCUCAUUCCUUUGUACUUGUCUUGAUCGUUGUUUCCUUAGCAUAUUAUUAAUGUCUUGCUCUGUGUUGUAAUAUUUGCUUAGUUCUGUGUAGCUAAUGUUGUUAUGUUAUUCAUUGUUUAAUUUUCAUUACUGUGUUAUUGCACUGUCUACAUUGUUCAGUCUUUUAUUUAUUUUCAGUAGGGUCCUAACUUGGCCUCGUCACUACUCUACCAAGGUUAGACUUGACACUUACUGGGUACCGUUGUGAUGUACUCAUGCUAUUAUUCUGCAUAUAUUUUUGUGUUGAUCCAGGUGCUUCCUACCAGCUCAGGCGUUAGUUGGGAUUCUAUUGCGGAGACUUCAAGGUAUACAUGUCGGCGUUCGCAGGUCUUAGAGUCCUCCUCUCUGUAGGUCUCUUAUUUUGUCAUCCUUAUUAUAUAGUCAUGAUAUAUAGAAUUAUAUAGUACUCAUAUUUAGAACUUAUGACUUGUAUUUUCAUCGGGUCUCGGGAUUUGUGUAUGCUGAGUUGAAGCGUUGUUUUAUAUAUAGUUGUUGAGUUUGAGAGGAUUAUUUACUAUUAUUUCAAUUAUUUUGCAUGCUGUUAGGCUUACCUAGUCUGAGAGACUAGGUGCCGUCACGACAUCCUACGAAUGAAAUUUGGGGUCGUGACAUUUACCUUUCGUAUAAGGAAGUUGAUUACCGUUUCUCUCUUGUUGAAUUCAGGUCUACCCCAGGGAUUAGUUGUCGUCCUUGAGGAGGACAUUUUGAAUAAUCAUGCUGACGUGGCGAGGCUGAAGGAGGAUUUUACCCGAACAUGUGUCUCUGAGCCUGCUUCUAGUGCAAGUGCUUUUUCUCGGAGUCCUCGGCCGGAGAACAAUCGACCAAAAAGAAGACGUUCUUCCGCGGCCGGGGAAAAAAUAAAAAGGCAAAGAGUGCCUCAUCUGAGUCGUCCAUAGACACCAUAGUGAUCGACAAUGAUGGAGAAGCCAACGAGGAUGAGGAUUCUCUACAUAGAAGAUGACGACCUUCCUCGGCUCAACAUGCUCAACCUGUUGAGUUAGUUACCCCAAUCGAGGAUGAUGCCUCGGCACUCUGGGGAGUAUUAUAUGGUGAAAAAUGCCAACUCCCGUUUUCGAAUCCUAAUCGUUGUGCCUGGUACCGCGAGGCUAGUACCGGGUCCCUACCGUCUUCAGUUGAUGAGAAUCCAACAAUCAGCAUUGCAUUUACCACAGCUGCUUCGCCAUCAGCUUUAUCUCCUUCUUCUCCAACUCUGCCUUCGCCACCAACAACUACUACAUCAUCUCCACCUGUAACGAUCCGGCCGGUCGUUUCAUGAAUUACCGCUCCAUUUCCCCCUUUUUUACUUCUUUAUGCUUGUUUCGUCUGUGUUAUAUGGUAUCGGGUUGGUCGGUUCAAAUUCGGAAUGAUUUUGGAAAGGUUUGAGACACUUAGUCUCUUUUGAGUAAGCUUAAGUUGGAAAAGUCAAUCAGAUGUUGACUUAUGUGAAAAAGGUCUCAAAUGUGAAUUUUGAUGGUUCGGAUAGCUUCAUGAGGUGAUUUGGGACUUAUGAGCGUGAUCGGAAUGUGUUUUGGAGGUCCAUAGCAGAUUUAGGCUUGAAUUGGCGAAAUUGGAAUUUUGGCAUUUUUCCGGUUGGUAAUGAAGAUUUUGAUAUAGGGGUCAGAACGUGAUUCCGGAAGUUGGAGUAGGUUCGUUGUGUCAUUUGUGACGUGUGCGCUAAAUUUCAGGUCAUUCAGAUGAGGUUUGAUAGACUUUUUGAUCAAAAGCGAAAUUUGGACGUUUUUGGAAACCUUAGGCUUGAAUCCGAUGUUAUUUUUUGAUUUGACGUUGUUUUAGGUGUUUCGAAGAUUGGUAUAAGUUUGGAUUGUGGUAUAUGACUUGUCCGUACUUUUGGUUGAGGUCCUAGGGAUGAUUUCGGGUGGUUGACGGGAAGUUUGGAGUUGGAAAUUUGCUGCUGAAGUUCCUGCCAUAACCGCACCUGCGACUUGGAGACCGCAGGUGCGGGCCCGUAAAAGCACAAGGAGGGUCGCAAAUGCGGCCAAGGUCGAGGAAGAUUGGAACCGUAGAUGCGGUGGUUCGAGCGCACCUGCGGCAGAUGCAGCUAAGGUCGUGGAGGUAAGGUUUUUGGACCCUAAACUUGUUUCUAUGAUGGUUUUAACUGUUUAAGCUUGAAAUCUAUGGAAAUUAGUAGCAAAAUUGGGGGUCUAGGGCUUGGAAAUUGGAGACCUUAACCUAGGGAUUUGAGGGGUCAAUUGUGGUCGGAUUUUGGUAUAUUUGCUACGCAUGGACUCGUGCGAGUGUAAGGAUUCCAGUUUUGUGAAUUUUAUCGGGAUCCGAGACGUGGGCCCGGGGGUCGGGUUUAGCCAAUUUCGAGAUUUUCUUUGGUGUUAAUUGGUUAUUUUGGAGUGGGAUUAUUCCCUUAGCAUAUUUUAAUGGUAUAAAUAUGUUUUUGGUUAGAUUUGGAGCAUUCGGAGGCCGAGUCGAGAGGCAAAGGCAUCGCGGGCUAGAAUUUGAACUUGAUAGAGGUAAGUAAUGAUUGUAAAUGCUGUCCUGAGGUUACGAAACCCCGGAUUUCACAUUGUUGUGCUACUUUGAGGUGAUGCACAUGCUAGAUGAUGAGCGUGGGGUCGUGCACCGUUAGGGAUUGUGACUUAGUCUGUCCCAUAUGAUUGUUAAGUCACGUAUUUGAUUAAAACUUAUUUGAUAUCAUCGUGUUUAGGAAAGUAUUAUUAUAUUUUGGGCUGAAUGCCAUAUUUGGGCCUCGUGCCAAUUGUUUUGGACCCUUAAGAGAUUUUUACUAAUAUUCCUCACUGUUUUGAUUUCAUAAAUUUUACUCAGUCAUGUUGUAUUCUACUAUUUUCAUAAACUCAGCCGUAUUUACUCCGUUUUGAUAUUCUAAAUGAUAUUUUGGGAUGAGCUUCAUGUUUUACUGUUUCUUGAGUGGCUUGAAAGGAUUCUGACUGAGUGAGGCCGGGGGCUUGAGUUGUGAGGAUUAUUAUAGGAUCGGGUUGUGCGCCGCAGCAUGUGUACUGGAUUAUGAUACAUGAGAGCCGAGGGCCUGAUUUGUUAUGCCACGAAAUGGCUUGUGAUAGCGCUUGGGCUGUAGGAGCCCCUCAAGGAGUCUGCACAGCCUCAGUGAGCGCAUGCACCCAGUGUGAGAUGUGAUAUUGCUUGAAGGGCUGUUGUUGUUUCAUGUUAUUGCCCGAGGGGCUGAUACGAGUGAUUGUGAGAUGGCCCGAAAGGCUGGUUCUGUUGAUAUUUUGCCCGAGGGGCAGUUGUGGUAUAUGUUUUGCCCGAGGGGUUGUUAACAUUUCUAUUCUUUUCUCACAGUUUUCAUCACUCGCUUGAAACUAUUGAAAGUUGUUUUAAAAAAAGGUUUUACUGAACUGAGAUGUUUUUACGAGUGUUAUUGCUUUACUUGCAUUGUUUUGGACUUAUAUUGUUUUGUUGUAGCGUCAUGCUGUGGUUUACGUGUUUUCUUACUACUCAACUGUCUUUACUUUUAUUACUUACUGAUUUGGCGUACUCACAUUACUCCAUGCACCCUGUGUGCAGAUCCAGGAGUCUCGGGUCACGAUAGCGAGUGCUGAUUUGGCUUCCAACAGGCUUUCGGAGUUGACUAGGUAGCUGCUUAGCAUUCGCAGCCCAGUGCUUCUCCUUCCUAUCUUUAUUCAGCUUUAUAUUAGCUUUGUUUCAGACUAUGUUGUCUUUUCAUAUUCCUAGACGAGUUGUAGUUGCUCAUGAUUGGUGACAUCCCGAUGUCGGGCCGUGUUUUAUCUCUGCACUGUUCUAUUCUAUCUUACAUUUUGGGAUUUUAGCUUAUUAAUGACUUUAAAUGACUUAUUAUAAUUGUUUGGUUGGUUUUGGGGUUUGUGUCAGUUGGCAUAUUUUCACGAUAUGCGUCAUCACGAUCGGCUCCGUUUUAGGGUCGUGACAAGUUGGUAUCAGAGCCUAAGUUACAUAGGUCUCACGAGUCAUGAACAGG